UACGUAGGGUGCGAGCGUUAAUCGGAAUUACUGGGCGUAAAGCGUGCGCAGGCGGUUCUGAAAGUCAGCUGUGAAAGCCCCGGGCUUAACCUGGGAACGGCGGUUGAAACUACAGGACUAGAAUCUGGCAGAGGGGGGUGGAAUUCCACGUGUAGCAGUGAAAUGCGUAGAGAUGUGGAGGAACACCGAUGGCGAAGGCAGCCCCCUGGGCUGAGAUUGACGCUCAGGCACGAAAGCGUGGGGAGCAAACAGG
Molecule: ribosomal RNA, 253 nt
Filed under: uncultured bacterium
Lineage: Bacteria
Description: partial 16S ribosomal RNA
Rfam family: Bacterial small subunit ribosomal RNA
Source: RNAcentral